UUGGUAGAGCGCCUGAUUUGGGAUCAGGAGGUCCAAGGUUCAAAUCCUUGUAUGGAGACUGGAGGCGUGGCAGA
RNAcentral lists this transfer RNA (74 nucleotides) under Escherichia phage RB32. RNAcentral's name for it is "tRNA-Pro". The stretch from base 1 to 58 matches the Rfam family "tRNA", at positions 16 to 71 of the family's 71-position model. From Rfam's summary of the family: Transfer RNA (tRNA) molecules are approximately 80 nucleotides in length. Their secondary structure includes four short double-helical elements and three loops (D, anti-codon, and T loops). Lineage: Duplodnaviria; Heunggongvirae; Uroviricota; Caudoviricetes; Pantevenvirales; Straboviridae. The record is from RNAcentral.